Molecule: ribosomal RNA, 253 nt
Filed under: uncultured bacterium
Lineage: Bacteria
Also listed under: 1 other name
Description: partial 16S ribosomal RNA
Rfam family: Bacterial small subunit ribosomal RNA
Source: RNAcentral
UACAGAGGGUGCGAGCGUUGUCCGGAAUCACUGGGCGUAAAGGGCGCGUAGGCGGCCUGGCAAGUCUGUGGUGAAAGCUCAGGGCUUAACUCUGAGUCGGCCAUCGAUACUGCGAGGCUCGAGUCUGGUAGAGGCAGAUGGAAUUCCGGGUGUAGCGGUGGAAUGCGUAGAGAUCCGGAAGAACACCGGUGGCGAAGGCGGUCUGCUGGGCCAGUACUGACGCUGAGGCGCGACAGCGUGGGGAGCAAACAGG